UUAGUGACGAAAAUUUUAUAAAGAAUUAUGUUCUAUAAAGUUCUAGGUAAUAAAAUGAUAAUGACAAUCUAUUACCUAAAAAUCUUGACCAAAGCUUGUGCCAGCAGUCGCGGCAAUACAAGUAAGAUAAGUGUUAUUCAUCUUUAUUAGGUUUAAAGUGUACCUAGGUUGUAAUUCAAGCCUGAUAAAGGGACUGUAUUUACUAGAGUUUUAUAUAAUAGAUUAGAACUGUUGGUGUAAAGAUGUAAUGAUAUGAUACUAACAUGACUGAUUAAGGUUAAUGCAAUUCUUUAUUAAAAACUGACAUUGAAGGACGAAGGCUCGGGUAACGAAAAGGAUUAGAUACCCUUGUAGUCCAAGCAGAAAAUUAUGAAUGUCAUAUGUCAUAUUUUAUGGUGUAUAAAUUAAAGUGUAAGCAUUCCACCUCAAGAGUAAUACGGCAACGUAGAAACUGAAAUCAUUAGACCGUCUUUAAGAUCAGUAGUGAAGUAUGUUAUUUAAUUCGAUAAUCCUCGAAAAAUCUUACCACAAUUUGAAUGUUUAAUUAAGAACACUUAAUUAAAUACAGGUGUUGCACGGUUGUCUUUAGUUAAUGUCGUGAGAUUGUGAUUAGAUUCAUUCUUAUAAACGUAAACCUGACUCUCAUUUUAUAGAUUAUACAUGAGUUUAAAAGUUAUUUAAUAACAAUAGGGAUUAAGACAAAUCAUCAUGACCCUAAUAUUGUGGGCU
Molecule: ribosomal RNA, 729 nt
Filed under: Dothideomycetes sp. GS-2016a
Lineage: Eukaryota; Fungi; Ascomycota; Dothideomycetes
Description: SSU rRNA
Rfam family: Bacterial small subunit ribosomal RNA
Source: RNAcentral